RNAcentral lists this ribosomal RNA (377 nucleotides) under uncultured eukaryote. Its description in RNAcentral is "SSU rRNA". It matches the Rfam family "Eukaryotic small subunit ribosomal RNA", at positions 587 to 969 of the family's 1831-position model. The record is from RNAcentral.
AGCUCCAAUAGCGUAUAUUUAAGUUGUUGCAGUUAAAAAGCUCGUAGUUGGAUUUCGGAUGGGAUCUGCCGGUCCGCCUUUGAGGUGUGUACUGGUAGGUCCUAUCUUGUUGUCGGGGACCAGCUCCUGGGCUUCACUGUCCGGGACUGGGAGCCGACGAAGUUACUUUGAGUAAAUUAGAGUGUUCAAAGCAAGCCUACGCUCUGAAUAUAUUAGCAUGGAAUAACACGAUAGGACUCUGGCUUAUCUUGUUGGUCUGUGAGACCAGAGUAAUGAUUAAGAGGGACAGUCGGGGACAUUCGUAUUUCAUUGUCGGAGGUGAAAUUCUUGGAUUUAUGAAAGACGAACUUCUGCGAAAGCAUUUGUCAAGGAUGUUU